ACUCCGCACCGGCCAAUGGCACCGCCCCGUCCGCCCCGCUCUGGGAACGCCGGGAUUCUUCUGGACAAGGAUGUGGUCAUAGAGGUCACAGGCUGAGAAUCAAUGGAGACACGUGGUGCUCAUCUGCUUAUGAGGAAGAUGCCACUUUCUUGCUUGGUCCACUGAUGGCUCCAGCAGAUGUGACAUAGACUGGAAGUGAUGGACCCAGACAACAAUCAGAACCAAAGCACCAGAUGAGCCACCUCAGCCACGUGAGCCAUGCCAGCCACCCUACCUGUGACCCCAUCUGUGGCCCCAGUUAUCAUGGAGUAGAGCCCUUUCUCUGUCUACAAAACCAACUUCCUCGCCCAGCUCAUGGGAACACUUAUUCUGUUGUAUAGAAUGAAGUGUUGCUUGAUUCUAGAAUCAUGCCAUUAAGAACAUUCAUGAUUCAUGAGAGGAGAUCAAAAUAUCAACAUAAACAGGAGUUUGAAAGAAGUUGAUUUCAACCCUUGUGGAUGACUAUGAGAGAUUCAAGGCUUCAGUGGAGAAUGCACCUACAGAUAUGGUGGAAACAGCAAAAGAAAUAGAAUCAGAAGUGGAGCCUGAAGAUUAAACUGAAUUGCUGCAAUCUCAUGAUAAAACUUGAACAGAUGAGGAGUUGCUUCUUACAGGUCUGUGGAUCAACACUGUCUCCCUGGCCUCUACCCAGCGCGCAGGACCCCUUAGCAGAGCAGGAGAACUCAGGAUCCAGCCAGCUGCCGGCACACUUUCGUCCUCCUCCGCACACGAGGAUCCCCAGGCCCAGCGGUGUUAGCCCAGAGAGGAGCGGCGUUUGGGAUGUGAUCCACAGCUGAUCCCUCGUGGCCCCUCCUCUCCCGAAUCCUGAAACAUGAGGAGGCCCUUCAGCUGCUGGCUCGGAGUCCGACUAUGGGAACUUUCUCCGGUCUACGGGGGCAGCAAGGGUCUCGCCUCAGGGACUUGGUUUAUUUAUCUAGCUGGACUCCAUCCCUUAAUAUCCUACUUACAGAGGAAGAGGCUUUAGCAGCUAAAUGCAGCCCCAUCCCCUCCUGUGGAGACUGUGAGCAGAAAAAGAACAGAUAUUUACAGAGGCCCGAGCCCCCCUUGUUGUUUUCUGCAAGGCUGUCGAGCUGGUGGAGCUUCAGGAUCCUGGUCAGGAACCCCGAACCCAGCGCUGGAGGCCCUGAAGAUCAGGGCACCCGACCCUCUUCCCAGCCGCCAAAGGCCUGUGUUGGUCUGAUUGUGGAUUCCAAGCUCUAAUUUCCAUCCAUCCUCCCAAUCCGAAUUCCCUUUGCAGACAUAAACACCAUCAGCAAUGUAGAGAAUGUGUUUCCUCAUCUUUGAAUAUUAACACUCAUCUGUUUAAUUGAGCUACUUUUUACAUACAUGUAAGAUGUGCUGCAAUUGCAAAAGAAACAUGUGCUUCGUGUUCUAUAAGCCAUAUCUUCCGCAAGACCUGCCAUCAAAUGAUUGCUCAAACAUUUGUUGAAUGGGAUGAGCAAUGGAGGUUCAGACAGGUGCCCUGACCUACCCAGGCUGGAGGGUAGGGAGCUAGAAAUUCAUACAACCAUGCCUUGUUCUACUUGUUUUGUGAAAGAAUCAUGUGACCAGUGACAAAGAGGCUGGGCAGCUGGGUCAGGCAGCAGGGACAGCGACUGAGCUGGGGGGACUACAGUGCUGUGCUCCUCUGCACCCGUGCUGGGAUGUCUGAGGCCAAGCUGACACUGGCCCCCCACAAUCCCUUGGGGCUGCUCCUCCUCAGGGAGUGGCUCUCCGGGUUUCCUGCUUGACUCCUGCUGCUCUUGUGUUGAAGGGCCGUCUCUGGGCAGCUCCCCCUGGCCCCUGGCCAGAGAGCCAGGCCCUGUCAGGCACGCACAUGGAGGAUGAGGGAGGUGCAGUUGUUUUCACAGGUGCAGACUCUAGAGGGACCCCACGUGGACUCUGUGGCUUCUGCCCCGACGCACUCGCGGGAGGACACAGCUCUGCCCGGAAGGGAGAGUGCUGAGCUGGGUCCCUGCUGCUCAUCUCUGUGGCAUCACCCUGUCAGUCCUUCCCUGUCACACAUAUGUUCCGCAAGACCUGCCGUCAAAUAUUUGCUCAGUCAAACAUUUGUUGAAUGGGAUG
Homo sapiens (human) is the source of this 2124-nucleotide long non-coding RNA. Ensembl annotates it as TMEM72 antisense RNA 1. Its record names the gene TMEM72-AS1. NCBI's taxonomy places the organism in Eukaryota, Metazoa, Chordata, Mammalia, Primates, Hominidae. The record is from Ensembl.